CAGAAACCCUGCAGGACCCAAUGUUACUACCCUGAAUAGAAGACAGUAUUGAAUGUUGCAAAGGUUAGAAGGGAGAUGAUUGACCAGUAAAAUGAUGGAAAUGCAAGAAAAUAAGAAUGUUAAGAUUUUUCAACGCCCACACCCUAAGAAACGGGAUUGAAAAGCAGUGACUUCAAGUAUAACACCAGAGUUUCCAUUUGGAUCCUUGAGGCAGUUGGAGUGAUCAAGCUUUCAAAUCCCUGAAAACGUGAGCUGUGCUAUGUCUGGGGCAGGCUCCAUAUUUUUAUUAUGUACCACACAACUCUAAAAGCAAUACAGAAAUUCAGGGCACUUAGAUUGAAAAAUGAACACUUUCCACAUUUAAAGGAGAAAGACUUACAUAUUUUUGGAGUUACAUACAUUCUUCAUCCCAUUUAUGAAAUCCAAAACCCACGGUUGGGCAUAAAGCAGGAGAUUUAAUACUCUUCUGCUGGUGGGUUUUGUUGAUUUUUACUGCCCCCUCCACCCACCCCUACCUUAUCCCACUCCAUCCCCUCUGCUCUUUUUGUUCUUCAUAGUUUUGUGCUAACUUCAGAGCUGCAAAUGUGUCAUUGAUCACAGAUUUAUAUAUAUGAGCUAAGAGCAGGAAUGCUAAAAUAAUUUCUUUCUCAGGCCUUAAAGAUAAAUGAUAGGUCAAGAUGCUUUACUUCAUAGCCAAACAUACUAAGGCACAGAGCAACAUGGCAGGAAUUUGAGUUGUGAGCGCCAGAAGUGCUUGUUCAGCACUAACAAGAAAUAGGAGAAUAGGAUCAGUAUAAUCUCAUAUUCUUAUUAAAUUAAAAAAAGACAGAGAGUAAUGCCAAGGUUAUGACAUGAACUGACAAGACCAAAAAAAAAAUCAGUUUUUCUGAUGCUUCAGCCUUUGCAAGCAUAGGAAAGAAUUAAAAAAAAAAAAAAAAAAAGCCCUGUGGCAUGAGUUAUAGAUGAAGUAUCUGCCUUUAGCUUGGAAUUUCCUGGCAUUUUUCAGCCUGUGACACAGACUUGAUGUGAUUAAACAAAGGCUUUUCUCCAAAUUUAAAGCUCUUAAAAAAAAAAGCUGAAUCUAAUACUCUAACUUGUUUUUAAAUGGGAGCAGAUGCCUCUGUUUCUUGAGCUGACUUCCAGAUUCUGAGAAAUAAAUGAAGAGUGGAGGCUUGUUUUGGUAGAGGCUGAGAAAAGGAGUUGGCCAUAUUUGCCCUUCAGAACUUCGUGUCAUCCCCCAGCUCCCCAACGGCAGGGCCACAUUCUUUCACAGGACGGAGUUGGGGCAGAUUAUGGCUUCCUCUGGAUUGGAUUUCCCUUGGCUUCCCUGAGGGCAAUCCCCCGAGGAAGCACAUCCUGGAGCCAAACUCACCCAAUGAACCACAGCAACAGCUCCUAGGAGAAUGAAGAGUGUGAAUGGAUGGCCUUUUCAAAAUGAUGAGCCUGGAAGAGUUACAGACUCUGGCCCGAAAGAACCAAAGUUGAAGGUAGAGAUGUUUUAAGGAUGAGCAGAGCAGAACAACUUAGCAGUGGGAUGUUAAAGGCAACAUGAAUCAAUGAGAAGCACAUGAUGACCUUGUUAAUAUGAAAAUUGAUAAUGGGGUGAGAGAAGAAAAGAAAAGCAUAAAAUACCUGUCUAAUCCAUGCACCACCAGACACCAGAGCAUGUGGGAAGUGGCCAAGAAGAUGAUGCAGGGACGUCUGAGCCCACUUUCUUAUUGGACUUUCCUAGGAUGCUGCCAGUGACCCCAGAGCCUUUUGUUUUCCUCCAAUAUUCUCAGUGCUUUAAAUAUUUAAUGAUCCUUCAACGUCUCUCUGAAUGCACUCCAAAUUAUGGAAGUCCUGGUUGAGAGUGGGGCCUGGAGCAGUUUAGAACCCUCUAAUCAAAGGCAGGUCCAUCUCUGGAGGAAGUUCCUACCUGGGGCAGAGAACAACUUAUAGCACAGUGCUCCAAAAUUUUCAGAGAACUGUGGGUAAGAUGAAUAUCAAGGUCAGGCUUAAAGUGGAGCAACAAGGGAACGGAUAUCCCAGUUAGCAAUCUGUGGCCCAGGGAGUGAGAGAACUUUAGCCUCAGCCAUUGCAUUUGUAACUGUUUGAGGAUGCAGGAGGGAGGGUCCAGGCUGGGCCUAGAGGACACUGAGACAUAUCUGGGCUUAUCUAAUGAGGUUGAGAAGUUGGUGGGCCACCAGGCUUGCUUAACGGGAGGGUAGAGAUUUUCACAUUGGAGUUUUCAUGUGGUGAUGUGUUUCCUUAGCCUCCCUGUUUUCUAGGAUACAUGGACUAAGGCAUUGGAGUGAGAUAGGAAAAGCUGGAAGGUCUCUAUGAGAUCAUGAGAGGCAGGGGUAAAGGGAUCUGCAGUAACUCAGUGUGACACAGUGUGGAACAGAAUGAUCUCUUUGCCUCUGUGGGGAGGACAGCGUGCCCUAGCACUGUGGCUGGUAGUGUUGGUGUGUCAAGGUCUGUUUCAGGUGGCACUGAAGGCUCUAUGAGCAUUGGCGGCAGAGUGGUGUGUUGGUGAAGAAGGAAAGCCCUAGAGCUCACAGCCAUCGAAGAGACACACCUAAGACAGCUCCUCACACUCCCAGAAAUGUCCUGGGGGAACUUUACAGGGGCUUCACUGGGAUGUGUGUGGGGAGGGCAAAUUUCGGUUAUUAUUUUAAUUGUUAGCCUAACCAUGUCUGCAUCAUGAUACCAUAAGCCAGGGAAACAGUUGGGUCAGAAUUAAUGGAAAUUGUUACUUUUCUCACGCGGUGAUGUUUUAAGUGCCUGCUGAACUCCAUUUCGGGCCCAUAGACUCAGGCCACGCAGGAGUGCCUCAUUUCUGACCUUAUAGAUGACUCAAGUAGGACCCUGAGAGACUGCUGAAAGCUUUCCUUCAUUUUAACUAAUUCAGCACAUAUUCUGUGGUUGCUUUCAGAGAGUAAGGCCUUGUACCAGGAACUUCCACUGUAGCCAAAUAGAAUCUGCAAGCGUGCCAUAAGAGAAAGCCUGGUGCAAGGGACAGAAGAUAGUUCCAGAAUCAAAAGACCUCUGUUUGUAUUUCAGGACAUGUUAUUUUGGGCAAAGAAUCUGAUGUCUCUGGGCUCUAGUACUCUCAACUGUGAAAUGAGAAAAUAUUUUAUGAAUGCAAAAUUGGGACAUAGAGUCUGACCAAGGUUUCCUAUGGGAGUUUCAGGUAUGAGACUCAAACUAGCUCCUAGAGAUUGGGUCUUACAAUGCUUGACUUGGGGCUACAGUUCAAGUGAAUCUAAUAGAAAUGGUUUAGGAUAUUUAAAGCAAAGAUUCCGCUAGACAAUUUUGAAUGAAUUUAGUAUAGAACCUCCCUCGUGGUGGAGUUCUGAGGAUCAAAUGAGGCAAUGAAGGUGGAGGAUAUUUUUAAAAUGUAAAGCACCAAAUAAAUAUUGACCAUUUUAAUUAUUACAUUUUACUACUCUGCAUAAAUCCAGACUUUUGCUUUGUAUUUUAACCCACGUUGCUACCUUGCAGACUUGAGACCCCAGACCUGUCUCUCAUGUUUAUGGAAGAAUCUGACUUUCUGCAGUUCCAAGCAAGCCACUUUCUUGCUUCCUCAGGCACUCAUGAUAAGCACUGAAGGGUACAAUUCUCCACCCACUUAUGUGGGGGAUCCCUUUCCAUGUGGCUUCAUCCUUUCUAUUUCUUAAGUUCAUAUGAAAUAUGGCUCAAAGAAAAGUCUAUCUGAUUCAUGGCCUUUCUCUUUUUUUAAGGUCAUAAAACAUAAUGUAAAAACAAGGUGAAUUAUAGCAAAGCAUGAUCUAGGUGUGUAACUAAUUCCUAUAAUAUAAGAGACCUUUAGACUUCUUUGAAAUAGGCCUUUCACUUUAUUAUGGGGAAAAUUAAGGUAAUAUAAAAACUAGCCCUUAAAGUUUUCAAUUAGCUCAAGUUGUGACCAUUUCCAACAAUAAUCAUAUCUGAAUAAUGUCAUUCUUAAAACCACUUAGGCUUUGUCUUAUGCUUUUCCAGAUGUUAGUGAUAUAAAAGAUUGCAAGUAGUACAUUUUAAUUCUGAAUCACCAGGAAGCAUAUUUUGGCUAUGAUACAAUCAUUAUCUUUUUUUUUUUUUUUUAAUUUAAGAACACUGGUUCCAAGAGAACAUAAGACAAGGGGAAGGUGUUCAAUUUUUGGUACUGAAAGUAAUUGUAAUAAAUGCUAUGACCAAAUAUUAGAAUUCUAUUUGAUAUAUUUAAAAGAAAUUGAAAAAACACUUUAAUAAUUUUGCUUAUCAUUUGCCACUGAUCUUUCUAAACAUAAUAACUUGAAAGGCCGUUGACAUUUAAGAAUAAAUAAUGCAAGCAGGUUUAGUUUUCUAUAUAUUUCAUACUUUGCCAAGUGAGUAUAUAGUUCAUGUGAUGACAGUUCUAGUCAAGGAAUAAGGAAAUCUCACAGAAAUGGACAACUUGAUUUUAAAUGUAAGCGUAACAUAGACACAUUUUUAUCAUUGUUUUUAUAUUACUCAGGAAGUCCUAUAGCAGACUUGUGCAGGAGACAGAGAAAGACAAGCCUAGGGUCCAUCCUUCAAGGACUUGAUAGCCCAGUUCGGGAAAGAAACAUGGGUCUAUGGGCAGUAAAACUAUAACAAAAAGAGUAAGUGCAAAAAGCCAGAUGAAUAAUAAAGAUAUGAUUAAUUAAUGAAGUUCAGAGGGAAGAGAGAAAGAGAACCUUUUAGCAGUGGCAGGAUUUGAAUCUGAAAGUGAAGCAUAGCUGAGAUGAUCUUAGUUGGAGAAGCUGGAGCAGUUCUCUCCAACUAAGAUAAUCCCUCCAAUUCAUUGCAUGUGAGGGACAGAGAGAAUGGUUUGGGAAAAAUUUAUGCAACAGGAUAUGAUCACUUUAAUUCCGGGCCAAAUUAAUAAUAUCAUUUGUUUGAAGCCAAGAAUUUCUGUGGGUCAAGGAAUGAAGAGCUGUAGAUCUAAAAAGGAUAAUUGUAGCUGGACUAUGGAGGGCUUUCAGUGGCAGACCAAAUCUGAAUUUUCUAACAUAAGAUUUGAGAUAGGGACAUGAUGAUCUCAACUGUUUUGAGGAAGAAGGAGUGCUGUGUGGGAGAGGGAGUUGAGGGGCAGGAGGACACAGCCAGUAGACCAUUGGUGUUAGCUGAUAAGCCCCUGGACCAGUAAGCUACGCAGUGAUAGUGGGAGAAUGGGGGAGAACCAGGGAGCAGAGUGUGGUGGAAAGUGAGAAUGAGAGAGUGGAAUCUCUGCUGACUAUUUCAGCGAAUGCCAGGAGUGGUUUUCUUUUCUUCCCCCCGCCCCCCUUUUCAGUGCAUUUUUAGUCAUGAGUUGACACAUUCACUGGAUCUUAAAGCUGGAAGUGAAGUCAAGUGACAUUUGAUCAGGUCCCCUGUUUUUAUUGAAGUUUGUUUAUUCCUGUUUUACAGACAUGGUAAUUAGAAACCAGGAAGACUGAGAAGGAAUCAAAUUUGCAGCAGCUCAGUAAGUGGUAGACUGGGAACAAGAAGCCAGUUCUCUGGGCUCUUGAAGCAAGGCCCUGCCACGUUGUCUUUCCCCAGGAGAGGAGGUCAUAAGACAUUCAUUCCAGAGAGAGUCCUGCCCCACCUCUGAGAAGGAAGGAAUGUACACUCAAGAGAGAUCAAGAAGAAUCUAAACAAACAGGCCCUUCUGCGUUUUCCCACAAGAGAAAAUGAUCUAAUUAACAUUCGAUCAUAACUUUUUGUCCAAUUAUAUUUCUACACUGCUGUUCAUACUUUAUUUAACCUAGGCAUAAAAAUUGACAAUUUUUAUUGUAUUUUU
RNAcentral lists this long non-coding RNA (5761 nucleotides) under Homo sapiens (human). RNAcentral's name for it is "HSALNT0111858". The record is from RNAcentral. Lineage: Eukaryota; Metazoa; Chordata; Mammalia; Primates; Hominidae.